Molecule: non-coding RNA, 683 nt
Organism: Chlorocebus sabaeus (green monkey)
Lineage: Eukaryota; Metazoa; Chordata; Mammalia; Primates; Cercopithecidae
Source: RefSeq, a predicted model, not a curated record
CAUCCAUAAUAUUAGUCAGGUACAGACAGAAGGCAUGACUGGCAUUUUAAAAAUUAGUUCUAUUAUUAUUUUAUUUAUUCUGCUAGCAGUCUUUAUCCCAGCACUGAAUGGCUGGCAUUUUAAAUUUGAAGCAAUGAAUUACAAACUUUAACGAUAAAAUUAAUUUUAAAAACAGUAAAUUGGCGGACAGUUCCCUCCAUCCCUCUGCACAUGUUCCAUGCUGCAGUCAGCCUGGGCCGCUCACUACUUUCUGAAGGUAUCCCGGCUUUCCCUCUUCCAUGCCCAGGUUUUCCGCCCUAGUCCACUCUCCUAGGCCACCCCCACCAACAUGUGAACAAGGAAGCCGCAAGGAUUCUUUCUGUUCUGUGUUUCAGAAUCUGUGAUACUAUAAAUGCACACUCCAAUACCUUGGAGAUGGUUUACCUCAAAGACCAAAUAUAUUUCCUAUUUAUAUUCAAUGAAUAAUUAAUGGAAGCGAAUUAUGUGAAGGUGUAACAAUAGAUAAAAAGUUUUUCUUUGCAGGAAAUUACCUCUCCACACAGUCUGAGAGUCUGGAAGUCAAGUUGGAUGCGGGAGCGUCGUGCCCCCCUAUAGCAUACAGCAGUCCGUUCCAGGUCGUCACUCCUACGCCACCUCUCCUUUUUGACAUCUGUGCACACAGUGUCCACUUAUUAGUAUGAGGA